Molecule: ribosomal RNA, 465 nt
Filed under: Vreelandella stevensii
Lineage: Bacteria; Pseudomonadati; Pseudomonadota; Gammaproteobacteria; Oceanospirillales; Halomonadaceae
Description: partial 16S ribosomal RNA
Rfam family: Bacterial small subunit ribosomal RNA
Source: RNAcentral
CCUACGGGUGGUAGCAGUGGGGAAUAUUGGACAAUGGGGGCAACCCUGAUCCAGCCAUGCCGCGUGUGUGAAGAAGGCCCUCGGGUUGUAAAGCACUUUCAGUGAGGAAGAACGCCUGGUGGUUAAUACCCAUCAGGAAAGACAUCACUCACAGAAGAAGCACCGGCUAACUCCGUGCCAGCAGCCGCGGUAAUACGGAGGGUGCGAGCGUUAAUCGGAAUUACUGGGCGUAAAGCGCGCGUAGGUGGCUUGAUAAGCCGGUUGUGAAAGCCCCGGGCUCAACCUGGGAACGGCAUCCGGAACUGUCAAGCUAGAGUGCAGGAGAGGAAGGUAGAAUUCCCGGUGUAGCGGUGAAAUGCGUAGAGAUCGGGAGGAAUACCAGUGGCGAAGGCGGCCUUCUGGACUGACACUGACACUGAGGUGCGAAAGCGUGGGUAGCAAACAGGAUUAGAUACCCCAGUAGUC